AGAGCGAACGCUGGCGGCAUGCUUAACACAUGCAAGUCGCACGGGCAGGGGAAACCCUGUCAGUGGCGGACGGGUGAGUAACGCGUAGGUAUCUAUCCUUGGGUGGGGGACAACGGCUGGAAACGGCUGCUAAUACCGCAUGAUGACCGAGGUCUAAAGGCGCAAGUCGCCUGGGGAGGAGCCUGCGUACGAUUAGCUUGUUGGUGGGGUAAAGGCCUACCAAGGCUACGAUCGUUAGCUGGUCUGAGAGGAUGAUCAGCCACAUUGGGACUGAGACACGGCCCAAACUCCUACGGGAGGCAGCAGUGGGGAAUAUUGGACAAUGGGCGCAAGCCUGAUCCAGCAAUGCCGCGUGUGUGAAGAAGGUCUUCGGAUUGUAAAGCACUUUCGGACGGGACGAUGAUGACGGUACCCGUAGAAGAGCCCCGGCUAACUUCGCGCCAGCAGCCGC
Molecule: ribosomal RNA, 451 nt
Filed under: uncultured bacterium
Lineage: Bacteria
Description: SSU rRNA
Rfam family: Bacterial small subunit ribosomal RNA
Source: RNAcentral